This 85-nucleotide ribosomal RNA is filed under the name Balanophora yakushimensis. RNAcentral's name for it is "4.5S ribosomal RNA". Lineage: Eukaryota; Viridiplantae; Streptophyta; Magnoliopsida; Santalales; Balanophoraceae. The record is from RNAcentral.
AGAUAAAUUUAUAAAAUAGAUGUAAAGUUAAAAUAUAGUAAUAUAAUUUAUUUAUAGCUAAUACAUACUAAAAAAUCAAAAAUUG